RNAcentral lists this ribosomal RNA (253 nucleotides) under uncultured bacterium. RNAcentral describes it as "partial 16S ribosomal RNA". It matches the Rfam family "Bacterial small subunit ribosomal RNA", at positions 524 to 776 of the family's 1533-position model. The record is from RNAcentral.
UACGUAGGGGGCAAGCGUUGUCCGGAAUCAUUGGGCGUAAAGGGUGCGUAGGCGGCGCGGUAAGUCGGGUGUGAAAUCUUGGAGCUUAACUCCGAAACUGCAUUCGAUACUGCCGUGCUUGAGGACUGGAGAGGAGACUGGAAUUUACGGUGUAGCGGUGAAAUGCGUAGAUAUCGGGAGGAACACCUGUGGCGAAAGCGGCGCACUGGACCACAUCUGACGCUGAGGCGCGAAAGCUAGGGGAGCAAACAGG